UUCCUGUCGAUAUGCACAUCUACAUAGUAUGUCCUUAUUAUCUACAAAGUUUCAUGAAAUUCUGUUGUGUGGUUUCAGAGGAGUUGCGAUGACAAACUGUUGCAGUAGUACAUUGAAGCAAAUAAGUUCAAAGGGGCGUAACUCCUAGAAAAAAAAAUUGAACCCUAAUUUCCUGUCGAUAUGCACAUCUACAUAGUAUGUCCUUAUUAUCUACAAAGUUUCAUGAAAUUCUGUUGUGUGGUAUCAGAGGAGUUGCGAUGACAAACUGUUGCAGUAGUACAUUGAAGCAAAUAAGUUCAAAGGGGUGUAACUCCUAGAAAAAAAAUUGAAUCGCAAUUUCCUGUCGAUAUGCACAUCUACAUAGUAUGUCCUUAUUAUCUACAAAGUUUCAUGAAAUUCUGUUGUGUGGUAUCAGAGGAGUUGCGAUGACAAACUGUUGCAGUAGUACAUUGAAGCAAAUAAGUUCAAAGGGGCGUAACUCCUAGAAAAAAAAUUGAACCGCAAUUUCCUGUCGAUAUGCACAUCUACAUAGUAUGUCCUUAUUAUCUAAAAAGGUUUCAUGAAAUUCUGUUGUGUGGUAUCAGAGGAGUUGCGAUGACAAACUGUUGCAGUAGUACAUUUAAGUAAAUAAGUUCAAAGGGGCGUAACUCCUAGAAAAAAAAUUGAAUCGCAAUUUCCUGUCGAUAUGCACAUCUACAUAGUAUGUCCUUAUUAUCUAAAAAGGUUUCGUGAAAUUCUGUUGUGUGGUUUGAGAGGAGUUGCGAUGACAAGAAAUAGGACUGACGGAUUGACGGACUGACGGACUGACAGACUGACGGACUGACGGACUGACGGACGGACAGACGGACAGACGGGUCAAAAACAUUAUACCCUCCCCAACUCGUUGCGUGGGGUAUAAUUAAAGAACCUUAGUGAGCGCGCUCACAUACCCCACGUCCCCACAUUGUCACUGGAGAAAUAAAAUAACUGUAAGAAAAAAAAAUUGUAUAAGAAAAAAAAAUUGAACCAUAAUUUCCUGUUGAUAUGCACAUCUACAUAGUAUGUCCUUAUUAUCUACAAAGUUUCAUGAAAUUCUGUUGUGUGGUUUCAGAGGAGUUGCGAUGACAAACUGUUGCAGAGGUAUAUUGAAGCAAAUAAGUUCAAAGGGGCGUAACUCCUACAAAAAAAAUUGAAUCAUAAUUUCCUGUCGAUAUGCACAUCUACAUAGUAUGUCCUUAUUAUCUACAAAGUUUCAUGAAAUUCUGUUGAGUGGUUUCAGAGGAGUUGCGAUGACAAACUGUUGCAGUAGUAUAUUGAAGCAAAUAAGUUCAAAGGGGCGUAACUCCUGGAAAAAAAUUGAAUCGUAAUUUCCUGUUGAUAUGCACAUCUACGUAGUAUGUCCUUAUUAUCUACAAAGUUUCAUGAAAUUUUGUUGUGUAGUUUCAGAGGAGUUGAGAUGACAAACUGUUGCAGUAGUACAUUAAAGUAAAUAAGUUCAAAGGGGCGUAACUCCUAGAAAAAAAAAUGAAUUGUAAUUUCCUGUCGAUAUGCACAACAACAUAGUAUGUCCUUAUUAUCUAAAAAGUUUCAUGAAAUUCUGUUGUGUGGUUUCAGAGGAGUUGCGAUGACAAACUGUUGCAGAGGUAUAUUGAAGCAAAUAAGUUCAAAGGGGCGUAACUCCUACAAAAAAAAUUGAAUCAUAAUUUCCUGUCGAUAUGCACAUCUACAUAGUAUGUCCUUAUUAUCUACAAAGUUUCAUGAAAUUCUGUUGUGUGGUUUCAGAGGAGUUGCGAUGACAAACUGUUGCAGUAGUAUAUUGAAGCAAAUAAGUUCAAAGGGGCGUAACUCCUGGAAAAAAAAUUGAAUCGUAAUUUCCUGUUGAUAUGCACAUCUACGUAGUAUGUCCUUAUUAUCUACAAAGUUUCAUGAAAUUUUGUUGUGUAGUUUCAGAGGAGUUGAGAUGACAAACUGUUGCAGUAGUACAUUAAAGUAAAUAAGUUCAAAGGGGCGUAACUCCUAGAAAAAAAAAUGAAUUGUAAUUUCCUGUCGAUAUGCACAACAACAUAGUAUGUCCUUAUUAUCUAAAAAGGUUUCGUGAAAUUCUGUUGUGUGGUUU
Long non-coding RNA from Mytilus californianus (California mussel), 2095 nucleotides. RefSeq lists it as uncharacterized. The transcript is spliced from 3 exons. Lineage: Eukaryota; Metazoa; Mollusca; Bivalvia; Mytilida; Mytilidae. The record is from RefSeq and is a predicted model, not a curated record.